GACGAACGCUGGCGGCAUGCCUAAUACAUGCAAGUCGAACGGAAUCCAUUCGGUGGCAACACCGUUGAAGAUUUAGUGGCGAACGGGUGCGUAACACGUGAGCAACCUGCCCCGGAGACCGGAAUAACAGUGGGAAACUACUGCUAAUACCGGAUGUCCCCAUGAUCUCGCAUGUGAUUAUGAGGAAAAGGAUCCCGCUCCGGGAGGGGCUCGCGGCCUAUCAGCUUGUUGGUGGGGUAAUGGCCUACCAAGGCGACGACGGGUAGCUGGUCUGAGA
Molecule: ribosomal RNA, 277 nt
Filed under: uncultured bacterium
Lineage: Bacteria
Description: partial 16S ribosomal RNA
Rfam family: Bacterial small subunit ribosomal RNA
Source: RNAcentral